CGGGAGGCAGCAGUAGGGAAUCUUCCGCAAUGGACGAAAGUCUGACGGAGCAACGCCGCGUGAGUGAUGAAGGUUUUCGGAUCGUAAAGCUCUGUUGUUAGGGAAGAACAAGUACCGUUCGAAUAGGGCGGUACCUUGACGGUACCUAACCAGAAAGCCACGGCUAACUACGUGCCAGCAGCCGCGGUAAUACGUAGGUGGCAAGCGUUGUCCGGAAUUAUUGGGCGUAAAGGGCUCGCAGGCGGUUUCUUAAGUCUGAUGUGAAAGCCCCCGGCUCAACCGGGGAGGGUCAUUGGAAACUGGGGAACUUGAGUGCAGAAGAGGAGAGUGGAAUUCCACGUGUAGCGGUGAAAUGCGUAGAGAUGUGGAGGAACACCAGUGGCGAAGGCGACUCUCUGGUCUGUAACUGACGCUGAGGAGCGAAAGCGUGGGGAGCGAACAGGAUUAGAUACCCUGGUAGUCCACGCCGUAAACGAUGAGUGCUAAGUGUUAGGGGGUUUCCGCCCCUUAGUGCUGCAGCUAACGCAUUAAGCACUCCGCCUGGGGAGUACGGUCGCAAGACUGAAACUCAAAGGAAUUGACGGGGGCCCGCACAAGCGGUGGAGCAUGUGGUUUAAUUCGAAGCAACGCGAAGAACCUUACCAGGUCUUGACAUCCUCUGACAAUCCUAGAGAUAGGACGUCCCCUUCGGGGGCAGAGUGACAGGUGGUGCAUGGUUGUCGUCAGCUCGUGUCGUGAGAUGUUGGGUUAAGUCCCGCAACGAGCGCAACCCUUGAUCUUAGUUGCCAGCAUUCAGUUGCGCACUCUAAAGUGACUGCCGGUGACAAACCGGAGGAAGGUGGGGGAUGACAUCCUAUCAUCAUGCCCCCUUAUGAGCUGGGCUACACACGUGCUACAAUGUGA
This 903-nucleotide ribosomal RNA is filed under the name Bacillus sp. (in: firmicutes). Its description in RNAcentral is "bacterial SSU rRNA". It matches the Rfam family "Bacterial small subunit ribosomal RNA", at positions 342 to 1235 of the family's 1533-position model. The record is from RNAcentral. Lineage: Bacteria; Bacillati; Bacillota; Bacilli; Caryophanales; Bacillaceae.